ACGAGCUCCGUUUUAUUAAAGACACACUGUAACGUUUGAUCCUCAGAUGAUUUCUGCAGACAUGGAGCUUCUACCACUUCUGUUUCUGAGCUUCUGUUUCCUGACUUUGUCCGGACUGACGUUUGCUGCUGAAUCCGGGACGCCUGUGGUUGUGAAAGAAGAUGAUGAUGCUAUUUUACCCUGUUUCUUUGACACCAACGUUGAGAACAUUGAGUUAAUGAAGUUUGACUGGAAGAAGGAAGGAACAGAUCCUCGAAAGCAGGUGUUCAUGUAUGAUAGGGGUGCCCAUCACAAUAAUGGCCUCUCAGAUCAAGAUGAUCAGUUCAAAGGUCGAGUCUCACAUUUUCCGGAAAAGCUGACGGAUGGCAAUGCCUCCAUAAGAAUAAAUAACACCCGAUUGAAGGACAAAGGAAACUACACGUGUUUUUUUCCAAACAGCAAAAAAACAUUCCUUGUUGAGCUUGUUGUUGGUGCAGCAGACCCUUCUGUCACAAUUCUUGGUCACACAAACAACGGGGCGCAGCUUAAGUGUGACGUUAAGGGUGCUUACCCUAGACCUACAGUGGAGUGGCAGGAUAGUAAGAAUCAAACCAUUCCUUCUGAGGAUCAGACCCUUAAAAGAGGAGAGGACUUCUACGUCACACUAAAAACUACUGUAAGAAAGACUGACUACUAUCACUGUGUUGCCACACAGAAGGAAAUUCACCAUCGGUCACAUACGAAAAUCUAUGUAUAUUUGAAUGGUGCCCGAUCUGGGACUGGGAAAAUUACAGCUACUGUUCUUUCAGUUAUGAUUGGAAUUUUUGCUACUGUUUAAUUUUACUGCAAAGGCCGAGAUCACAACAGUAGUUGCUUCAAAGCACUUUAUAAGCUGCAUGGUCUGUCACAAAACUGAUGUAGAGCAACUGAUUGUCUUAAAAAUAAAAGACCACACAGAUGAAUCUCUCCAGUGCUGACAUUAUCCCGCUGUAUCUGAAGCUGUGCAAAGGAUGGAUCAAAACGGUAACACCCAGUGUGUUUCUGGUGUUAAUUUGCCAGCCUCACUUGGACUUUGCAUAAGUGUGUAAUCCAUCGCUUUUUUUUCCAGGUUGUAUAAAUAUCCAACAGUGUUUUAUUAACUUUACUUAGUGGGAAAAUGUAAUGAAACUGGAAUCCAGAUCUGAAACAAAUGUGAUUUAAAAUUAUUCUUCCUUUGUCAGUGCUCUAGGUCAGUGUUUUUCAACCUUUUAUGAGUCGUGGCACAUUUUAUAGAUAAAAAAUAUCCUGUGGCACAUAACUAACGAAUCUUGUUUCAAAAUGACACACUGUAGCCUAAUACAGUACAUAUAAUGGCAAGUUAGUCCCUCAGUUUGUUUAUACUCACUCAGUGUGAAACCUGGUCCUGUCUAGAACACAAAGAUGAUAUUCUGGCAGGAAUUGAAGACCCAAAUUUAACGAAGUUUUGAAGAAGUUUGCGCACGACAUCAUCCAACACAGGAGCUAGUUCUGCCUGAAAGUCUUGGCAACGAGCGCCUCGUGGUGCAGAAAACAGUGCAUAACAAUAACAUCUGGGUUUAUCGCUUUCACUCUGCUAACGAAACCUUUGGUGUGUCCGACCAUGGCUGCUGAUCCACUCGUGCAGUUGUCCCACUUAAAUCCACCUUGUUCAAGAUAUUCAGGUGUAACCCCCAAAAUUUCCUCUCCUGUUGUUUUUUCUGGCAGUGCCUUGCAAAAUAGAAAGUUUUCUCUAAUGGUGUCUCCAUCCAAAAAACGCACAUUGGCCAAGAGUUGGGAAUGUCCACUACUGUCGGUAGACUCAUCAAGUUGCACUGCAAACUUCCCACUGAUGCGUAUCUUCUCCAAAACCACACUUUCAGUGUCUGCAGACAUGUCAUUGAUACGUCUGGCAAUUGUGUUAUCUGGGAGCGGGACUCUGGCUAUUUCAUUAACCGCGUCAGGUCUGAGCAUCUCAUUCACAAUGGCAUUGUAGGCAGGUGGCAUUAAUGUCUAUAUUACGAUGUGUUUUUUUUUUUUUUGAUUUGGCUAUAAGUACAGCUACUAAGUAGCUAGGUUUGAGAGUUCUUUCAGACACCAUUGUGCUUUCUCUCAUUAAAGUUACCUGUUUCUCAGCGUGUUCACACAGGCGAACAAAAUAGCCUGUGUUCUUGUUUUGAAGUGAGGGAUGUUUUGUAUGGAGAUGACAUUUGAGCUUUCUUGGGACCAUGGCACUGUUUGAGAACUUUCCCCACACACCAAACAUAACAGAGUGGGUGCAGUCGGAUCUCCAGUGAAAGUAAAUCCAAACGAAAGAUAACUUUCGCUGUAUUGCCUUGAGCUCAUCGUUUUUGCUUUCUUUUGACCACUGCUCCUACUAGGCUCUUCUGGAUUAAAAUUUUGUCCAGGGCCCAGUUCGGAGUCUUCUAUUUUUUUUUUUUUCAAAUAUUUAUCCAUCUUUGUUGUACAUCUUGCAACUGCCACGUACCGCGCACAUCACUAAUUCUGUUGUCUUAAUUUAACAAGAUCAUAUUGCGCUACCCACUGUCACCCACUGACAUGAAAGAGUAAUUACUCUACCAGUCAUUGCAUUGAAAGCACAGAUGUCCAACAAUGAUUUUAUUACUUGCAGUAAUUAUUAAAUUGUAUUUUUGGACCAAAUAAUUGAAAUUAAAUAAUUUCCCAUGGCACACCUGAUGAUCUCGCACAGCACACCUAUGUGCCGCGGCACAGUGGUUGGGAAACACUGCUCUAGGUGUCCAUCAAUUUAAUGAUAUUUGGUUUGUAUAAUCCUGCUGACAGAAAAACAAGUGAACUGACAAGAUUCAGAAACAUAGAGCUAAGGCUGAGGAACAUGCAGCUAGUGAAAAUUGCUCCCCAAACCACGAUUCAUAUUUCUUUAGAAUUGGUUAUUCUGAAUGAUGUGUCACUGUGGUCACCUGACCUUUGAAAAUAAAAGUUGAAAUCCCCAUUGUCAUGCUGCCCAUGAAUUAUGCUUGAUGAUCAGGCUGCAUUUUCCACAGUACUUCACUGCCAUCUGUGAAUCAUCAUGUGUUGAUGAAUAUCUGAAGGUAAACUGAACUGAAAUACAUCUAACUGCUCACAGUGCUUCAGUUAAACAUGGGCACUGAUAACAAGACAAACCCCGAACCUGCUCUAAAUGAAGGUCAGCUUUUUGUGAAAUGUGUCUGUAGUAUGCAUAUGUCUUUGGUAUUAUUUUAAGCCUGUUUUCUUUUUGAAAAAUAAUUUAAAGAUAUUAAGCCAGUCUGUGAGGUAUGCUGUUCAUGAUGGAUAUUAGGAAUGUGUUCAUGCUGUUAAAUGACUAUUUCACAUCACGCCAUUUCACAGAUUGCUUAAAGGUUUCUGUAAUCAUCCAAAUAAAACAUGAAUUAAAUGAU
Oreochromis aureus is the source of this 3371-nucleotide RNA transcript. It is a transcript of the gene named butyrophilin subfamily 3 member A3-like, with no coding region annotated. NCBI's taxonomy places the organism in Eukaryota, Metazoa, Chordata, Actinopteri, Cichliformes, Cichlidae. The transcript is spliced from 6 exons. The record is from RefSeq and is a predicted model, not a curated record.